GACGAACGCUGGCGGCGUGCUUAACACAUGCAAGUCGAACGGAAAGGCCCUGCUUUUGUGGGGUUCUCGAGUGGCGAACGGGUGAGUAACACGUGAGUAACCUGCCCUUGACUUUGGGAUAACUUCAGGAAACUGGGGCUAAUACCUGAUAGGAGCUCCUGCUGCAUGGUGGGGGUUGGAAAGUUUCGGCGGUUGGGGCUGGACUCGCGGCUUAUCAGCUUGUUGGUGGGGUAGUGGCUUACCAAGGGUUUGACGGGUAGCCUGCCCGGGAGGGUGAACGGCCCCCUUGGGACUGAGGUACGGACCAGUCUCCUAUGGGGGGCAGCAGUGGGGAAUCUUGCCCAAUGGGGGGAAGUCUGAUAAAGAGACGCCCGGUGCGGGAAGACCGCCUUCGGGUUGUAAACCGCAUUAGCCUGUGACCAAGCGUGAGUGACGGUACUGGGUAAAGAAGCACCGGCUAACUACGUG
Molecule: ribosomal RNA, 468 nt
Filed under: uncultured bacterium
Lineage: Bacteria
Description: partial 16S ribosomal RNA
Rfam family: Bacterial small subunit ribosomal RNA
Source: RNAcentral